CCUACGGGUGGCAGCAGUGAGGAAUAUUGGUCAAUGGACGCAAGUCUGAACCAGCCAAGUCGCGUGCAGGAUGACUGCCCUACGGGUUGUAAACUUCUUUUGUACGAGGGUAAACUCAGACACGCGUGCCUUUUUGUAAGUACCUUAUGAAUAAGGAUCGGCUAACUCCGUGCCAGCAGCCGCGGUAAUACGGAGGAUUCUAGCGUUAUCCGGAUUUAUUGGUGUUAAAGGGUGCGUAGGUGGGGGGUGAAGUUAGGGGUGAAAUUCCGAGGCUCAACCGCUGAAUUGCCUUUGAUACUGUCAGGCUGGAGAGUAGUUGAGGUAGGCGGAAUGUGUGGUGUAGCGGUGAAAUGCUUAGAGAUCAUGCAGAACACCGAUUGCGAAGGCAGCUUACCAAGCUGCUACUGACAUUGAGGCACGAAAGCGUGGGUAGCAAACAGGAUUAGAUACCCCAGUAGUC
This 460-nucleotide ribosomal RNA is filed under the name uncultured bacterium. Its description in RNAcentral is "partial 16S ribosomal RNA". It matches the Rfam family "Bacterial small subunit ribosomal RNA", at positions 338 to 795 of the family's 1533-position model. The record is from RNAcentral.